AAUGGUUGUGGGGUGUUCAAAUUUACAAUGAACAAAUCACAGAUUUGUUGGAUCCAAGCCAAAGAAAUCUUCAGAUAAGAGAAGAUGUCAAAUCUGGUGUUUAUGUUGAAAAUUUGA
Long non-coding RNA from Pistacia vera, 117 nucleotides. RefSeq lists it as uncharacterized. The transcript is spliced from 3 exons. NCBI's taxonomy places the organism in Eukaryota, Viridiplantae, Streptophyta, Magnoliopsida, Sapindales, Anacardiaceae. The record is from RefSeq and is a predicted model, not a curated record.